RNAcentral lists this ribosomal RNA (428 nucleotides) under uncultured bacterium. Its description in RNAcentral is "bacterial SSU rRNA". It matches the Rfam family "Bacterial small subunit ribosomal RNA", at positions 29 to 495 of the family's 1533-position model. The record is from RNAcentral.
AACGAACGCUGGCGGCAGGCCUCAUACAUGCAAGUCGAGCGAGAAACCUUCCUUCGGGGAGGCGGACAGCGGCAGACGGGUGAGUAACGCGUGGGAACGUACCCUUUGGUUCGGAACAACUCCGGGAAACUGGAGCUAAUACCGAAUAAGCCCUCCGGGGGAAAGAUUUAUCGCCGAAGGAUCGGCCCGCGUCUGAUUAGCUAGUUGGUGGGGUAAUGGCCCACCAAGGCGACGAUCAGUAGCUGGUCUGAGAGGAUGAUCAGCCACACUGGGACUGAGACACGGCCCAGACUCCUACGGGAGGCAGCAGUAGGGAAUAUUGGACAAUGGGCGAAAGCCUGAUCCAGCCAUGCCGCGUGAGUGAUGAAGGCCCUAGGGUUGUAAGCUCUUUCGGUGGGAUAAUGACGGUACCCACAGAAGAAGCCCCG